AAGUAUGAGGCAUCACAUGAAUUCCAGACUAAGAAAAAGCGUCAGCAACAGAGGCAAGCAGAAGAAGCUGCGAAGCGUCAAAAACUUAAUCAUCCUCCACCACAUUCUCGGUUGCCUCCAAUCCAGCAGCCUGGCCAAGCACACCCUCAAAUCAGGCCUGGCCAGGGUAUGCACAACGCACCUCCUGUGGCAGCUGGCUCGAGCCAUCACUAUGCAAAGCCUCGAGGACCAGGAGGCCCUAACCGGU
This 247-nucleotide long non-coding RNA is filed under the name Setaria viridis. Its description in RNAcentral is "long non-coding RNA (SVIR_LNC006223)". The record is from RNAcentral. Lineage: Eukaryota; Viridiplantae; Streptophyta; Magnoliopsida; Poales; Poaceae.